CCUACGGGUGGCUGCAGCGGGGAAUAUUGGACAAUGGGCGAAAGCCUGAUCCAGCCAUGCCGCGUGUGUGAAGAAGGCCUUCGGGUUGUAAAGCACUUUCAGUGGGGAAGAAAGCCUUGGGGCUAAUACCCUCGAGGAAGGACAUCACCCACAGAAGAAGCACCGGCUAACUCCGUGCCAGCAGCCGCGGUAAUACGGAGGGUGCGAGCGUUAAUCGGAAUUACUGGGCGUAAAGCGCGCGUAGGCGGUCUGAUAAGCCGGUUGUGAAAGCCCCGGGCUCAACCUGGGAACGGCAUCCGGAACUGUCAGGCUAGAGUGCAGGAGAGGAAGGUAGAAUUCCCGGUGUAGCGGUGAAAUGCGUAGAGAUCGGGAGGAAUACCAGUGGCGAAGGCGGCCUUCUGGACUGACACUGACGCUGAGGUGCGAAAGCGUGGGUAGCAAACAGGAUUAGAUACCCCAGUAGUC
RNAcentral lists this ribosomal RNA (465 nucleotides) under Vreelandella stevensii. RNAcentral describes it as "partial 16S ribosomal RNA". It matches the Rfam family "Bacterial small subunit ribosomal RNA", at positions 338 to 795 of the family's 1533-position model. The record is from RNAcentral. Lineage: Bacteria; Pseudomonadati; Pseudomonadota; Gammaproteobacteria; Oceanospirillales; Halomonadaceae.